RNAcentral lists this ribosomal RNA (245 nucleotides) under uncultured bacterium. Its description in RNAcentral is "partial 16S ribosomal RNA". It matches the Rfam family "Bacterial small subunit ribosomal RNA", at positions 524 to 768 of the family's 1533-position model. The record is from RNAcentral.
UACGGAGGGUGCAAGCGUUGUUCGGAAUUACUGGGCGUAAAGGGCGCGUAGGUGGUUGUGUAAGUCAGAUGUGAAAUCCCCCGGCUCAACCGGGGAACUGCAUUUGAUACUGCAUGACUAGAGUACAGGAGAGGGAAACGGAAUUCCCGGUGUAGAGGUGAAAUUCGUAGAUAUCGGGAGGAACACCGGUGGCGAAGGCGGUUUCCUGGCCUGAUACUGACGCUGAGGCGCGAAAGCGUGGGUAG